This is a long non-coding RNA of Acinonyx jubatus (cheetah), 23603 nucleotides long. RefSeq lists it as uncharacterized. Lineage: Eukaryota; Metazoa; Chordata; Mammalia; Carnivora; Felidae. The record is from RefSeq and is a predicted model, not a curated record. The transcript is spliced from 2 exons.
UAUUUACUGUUAUUAAAUUAAUGAUUAUACCUUAUUUUCUGAUGAUUCAUGAUGAUACACCUACCCCCCCCUUUCCAUUUGUUAUUAUUGGAUCUUCUGAAAUAUACAUGAUAGGUAUUAAUCUGAUUGAUAGAUAAAGGAACAAACUAAGACUAUUGCACUUCAUGUUAAGUAAUUUGCCUAAGUUCUAUCUCUUUCCCAUGCCAGUUUGAACAUGCCUGAACAAGUCCCUAACUUUAGCAUGCAUGUUUUUAUACAUUCAUAUUCUUGAGAAGUUUAAGAUAAUUUUUAGAACAUUAGAAGUUACUACUAUAUUUACAUAAUAAAAACUAUUGCAAUGAAUCACUGUGGAGUUAAAUAAUUUGUAAUAGGGCAUUAGAUCAGAGGAAAGAAGAAGAAGGGAAAGAAAACAAGAGGCAAAGAGAUAGGAAUAAAUAUACAUUUCUAUAUGUAGAGAAAGGCUAAUAAUUAAGACUCACAGGAAUUAUUCCUGGGGCCAGUUUUGACACUUUUAUAAAUGGUCUAGAUGAGGGCUUUCGUACUGAAAUAUCUACUAAAAGCAGACUCUGAUAAAUUAUUGACCUGACUUGCUUGGCUGACAGUUUCAUCUUUCUUAAGGUAGAAGAUGUUACAGUGGGGAAUUGCUACUUUGGGCUUAAUUCUAAUCUCGAGGGAGAGGUGGAUGGAGAUGUGGUGGGGAAAUCCACACAUAGGCAUAUCCUGAUUGUGUGUGUGUGUGUGUGUACACUAAAUCUAGUGGACAAGAUGAUGAUAUGGGUUGGGUGAUAGUGAGGGCAGUUCAUUUGCUUGUUAAACCUAACAUGUAUUAACUAAUAAUUAACGUCAACCUGGAAAGACCUCUCAAAGGACCAAACCUUACAAAUUCCUGGUCCUAGUCAAGAUUUUUAUCAAUGCUAUUCACUAUGUCAUAGAAGUAACUUAUCAGUUAUAGAUGAUAAUGUGACAGGAGGUGAAUAUAAAUAAUGAUUAGUAAAAGAAUUAAGAAUUAAAUAAUUAAAAUAAUCCUGACAGCCUAAACUCCUGGGCCAAAAUCAAUAUGCUAAAGCUGUAUGUCUUCAAUAUUAGCGUUAUUUUUGUUGUUGUUUGUUUUGUAAUACCUAGUGAUGUGCAGGAUGUUUCUGAUGGAAUUGUAAAUUAGUUUGAUUUUUCUGGAGGGUAAUGCGGACAUAUAUAACCAAAGCUGUGAAGUAUUCAUGAUCUGUAAACUGAAUAUUCUGAUUUUAAAUAGAAUAUUAUGUACUUUAUUUUUAUAAAAGAAAGUUAGUGUGUAUAGAUAUACAAAUAUGUUAAAAACAAAACAUGUAUAGAGGUAUAUCCAGGAAUAUGUCAUUGUGGCUGAUAAUUUUAGGUAUGAGAUUUUCUUCUUAAGCUUAUCUAGGUCUUCUAAUUUUUUGUAGAUAUAUGUAUUGACUGCAUGCUAGAAAUGUUAUCACAAAAAGAUAAGAUUGAGGUGGCAGCCAUUUCAAGUGAAAAUUUUUCUGGGUUAUUUGGAGGACAAAAGUUACCACUAGUGUGACAGAGCAGCUAAUAAAAGAGUAUAAUUAGGUUGCAUAAAUAACAAUAAAGCUUCAGUGGGGGUUGGUGGGAGAGGUAGCAAAGAGCUGUUAAGCCCACAUAGUUAUGGUGAUAAUUCUUUUAUAGGAAACAUUUUUAAGUAAGAGUCCUAACAAUACGUAUAAUUUAGUGGAUUGAAAUUUGACAUAUAAAAAAUUUGUAACUCAAAAUCUUUAGCCUACAGAAUUGAUAACUUGGGGAUCUGAGGAGGACAAGCCAGGCUAAUUGUGUUUAAAUACUUGCAGGAUGACAGAAUGAAAGACAUUCUGAUCAUCUCUGUAAACCUUUAAAAAAGACUUGAACAAAUGGGCAGAAGGCUCAGAGAAGAAGAUACUCAGGAUUUCCUAACAUUUAGAAAACCGCAGCAGGCUACAGUAGAAAUAAAUGCAUUCCCUAUCAUAGGUCUGUAUCUUGGAUAGUAAUGAUUGAAAACCCUGCUCAAAAUGAUGUUAAUCAAAAGUCAAAUUUAUUGGCUGAGAAGUGGCUGGCUUAGUCUAUCCUCCAUCAAGCAAAGGCUAGAUGCAUAGUGUUGAUGAUGCCCACAGGACCCAUCUCCCCUCCUUUCAUGUGGUUUUAUCCUGAAAGGAGCUUGGUUUCAUGAUGCAAGAUGGCUGCAGGCCUUUAGAACACCCAUCCUCUAUUUUACAUUUAGGGGAAAGACACACAUCAUCAACAGUAGAGUGAAAAGCCUAGACCUAAUUUUCCUUAGCAAUAGUUGGCCCCUGUUCUCAUCCUCGAACCAAGUACUGUGGGCAGGGUGGUGGUGUAUAGAAUAGUUGUUUUCUAAUGUUUGUUUGUUUGUUUAUUUUUGAGAGAGACAGAGUGUGAGCGGGGGAAGGGCAGAGAGAGAGGGAGACACAGAACCGGAAGCAGGCUCCAGGCUCCAAGUUGUCAGCACAGAGCCAGAUAUGGGGCUCUGAACCCACGGACCUUGAGAUCAUGACAUUAGCUGAAGUUGGACGCUUAACUGGCUGAACCACACAGGUGCCCCUAGAAUAGUUGUUUUCUUACAAAGCCAGACAGGGCCUCCCAUCCCCCCACCUGAGGAUGGGGUCAAACUCAGGUAAACCCCCUGCACUGAGGAUAUGGAGGAGUGGUUUCUGAAAAGCAAUUCACACUAAUCGUUUAUCAGGAAAAUUGAUGACUAGACAAUGGGCUGCAAAAAUGACAGAUGCCUAUUAAAACUAGGAUGACAAGUGUAACUGGAUGAUUUCUUAGGUUCUUUCCAAUGCCAAGAUUCUAGAAGGCUGAGAUUCAAUUUGCAGUUGGUGCUAAGAUUUGCAGGGAGAGAAAUAUAAAAGGAAAUACGAAAGGAAUUGAUGAUGAACUCCAGGAAGACAUUACCAGGCUGCAAGAGAAUAAUGGAAAGCAAUGCUGUUGGGCAGGCAAAGGUAUUAAAGGGGGAAACAAUUUGAAACAUGGAAAUUCCUUUACAGUUGUGAGCUUUUGAGCUUAAAAAAAAAAAUUGAGAUUCUGUCAGUUAACAUGUAUCUCUCCCCCAAAGCAUUCUCUGUCUCUACUUAAUCAAGCAUGCAUUUUGUGCUGCUUUUUUCCUCCUCAUUUAACAAGCACACGUGUGCACACACACAUGCACUCUGCCUAGUAGUUUGCAAAAAAACAGAAAGUAGCAGAUAUCUUUUCAAAACACAAAACGCUCACACAUGCACUUAUGUAUAAUCCAAUGCUCCAAAAAAAUGUAGUCAAUUAUAGAUUAUUUAGGUUUGACAGAUGCCUUUCAAAAUUCAUAUGAUCUCUGGAAGGGUUAAGAUUCAUUCACAGAGCAAAUUGCUUUAAUCAGAUAAUCAGAUCACCAGCUCCUUAGGGCUGCUGGCUCAGCAAAAUUUCUCCUGCAAAUUUACAAUUUUAUUUGAGAGCGGAAGGAGAGAGGGAGGGCCAGGGUUUGGGAGCAGAUGGUGAUUUUGGGGUACACCUUAGGCAGCCAAUAGACCACUUAAAGAAAUGUAGGGGAAGACAAGGGAGAGAAGGAAACCAAGAAGGAGUGGAUUUAGAAAGACAGUAACAAGAGAAUUUUGCCUAGAACCAUCUCAACUCUGUAUAAACCAACUGGACAUAAUGAACAUCGCUGCUUCCCUAAAUCUCUAUAGCCCCUCUAAUGUCCCCCUUAUGAGCUCCCCACUCUUUUAACUCUUAAGAUAUAAGGAGGAAGGAAAGGAUAAAGAGGCUAAGCCUGCAAAGAGGAAGGUCUUAUUCAUGUGCCUAUCUCCUUGUCCUUUGUAUUCUUCGUACUAUUUCAGGUUGUAAAGCCUGGGAUUUGCCUUUUUUAGGAUAACUACAGUGCAUCCCCCAGGAACACCAAGGGCAAUGCCCUUGUACAAAACCUUAGAUCAUCUGCACUAUAUGUGGUUCUGGUUGAUGAACCUUAAAAGAGAGGAAAUGGAGCUAGAAAAGGUCUAGAGAAGGGCAGAUAAAAUGAUCAGAGGGAUAAAAAAGGGUGCAGGAUGAGAGCAGAUUAAAAUGAUCACUUUUCUUCAUGCUGCCCUCUACAAAACUAUGAAGGGCACAGACAAGGUAAACACAGACUAGAUGGCCAGACCCUGCAGUGCCAUAACCAUGGGGAAAGCCACAGGAGCUUAGGGAGAGCAGAGAGAUGAAUAGAAGACUAGCUUUGUACAUAGCACAGAUACAUGUGUACAAUUCCCUACCCUUCAGUAGCAGUAUAAGCUAAGUAACUAUAAGUAGGUUUUGAUAGGUUUGUGAUGGAAAAACCCAUAAUGAGUUUUGAUCAAAACAAGCCCUGCAUCUUUCAUUUUUGCUGUGGAUACCUUAAAAUAGUGGUCUUCAAACUCGAUUGAUGAUCAGACUCACCUACGGGUGCUUUUAAACUGCGUUUAGCUUCCAUAGCCCUACCUGAGAUUUCAAAAAUAAAACUUUUGGGAAACAAUAAGACCCCAAAAUUUGUGGUCUACAAAAGAUCAGCUGACUCUGAUAGUCACAGGACUGAGAAAUACUGGCCAAAAGGCUGCCGCUAGCUGCCCUAUGUGAUGAGGAGAUAGCAUGGCCUGUGGGAUCAGGCAGACCUGGGUAUAAUUCUGACUGCUGCUUUUCACGGUGUGACUUGGACAAGUUACCUACCCUCUCUGAGCCUGAGUCGAUCUUAUAGGGUAUUAAAUAAAGGAUUUGGUGCUGAGUAAAUACUAGCCUAUGUCUCCCCACCCCAGCCUCCAACCAGGUUCUGUGGAUUGUCAAUCACAGAAUCCUGGGCUAGUGAGAUUCUGGAUUUAAGCACAUUGAUAGUUCUUUUUUAAAUUUUUUUUUAACAUUUAUUUAUUUUUUGAGAGACAGAAAGAGAUGGAGUGCAAGCAGGGGAGGGGCAGAGAGAGAGGGAGACACAGAAUCUGAAGCAGGUUCCAGGCUCUGAGCUGUCAGCACAGAGGCCGAUGUGGGGCUCAAACUCAUGAACUGUGAGAUCAUGACCUGAGCAGAAGUCAGAUGCUUAACCGACUGAGCCACGCAGGUACCCCAAGCACAUUGAUAGUUCUUAUACAUUAAAGUGUUUGUCUCUGAGAGGGAGAGAAGACGACUGUAUAGAAAGGCGUGAAGGUGGACAUGCCAUCUUCUCCUCUCCUACCUCUAUCUUUUGUAUUUCCAUUUAUAGGUAGAAUAAUGAAAGAAGCAUAUGUUUCUGAACUAUCAAGUUUCCACUUACUGGCUUCAUGGUGUUUUGAGAUAAUUUGUCAGUAUUUUGGGGUUUUGGUUUCUGUUGAGGUCUGCACCUCUCAAGAUUAGUUUACAGAUACCUCUGUGAAGUUAAAACUAAAAGGAAAAACAAAUCAGUGGAGAUCUCGGAAUGUGUGUGAACACGUAUUGGGCAGUUGUGCACUGAAUCAGCUGGUGAACAUUCUUUACUGAGUUGCAGUAAAGAUCUAAGGAAAUGAGCAGAGAGGAGACAUAAGGCAUGGGAGGGGACAACUAAGAAGGGAGUUUCUUCAAGAGGCAGGUUGCUUUUAAGGCAAAUGCAGGUGUCCUGAGAAAAGAAAAGGAAAACAGAAUUCCAGGCUCCUGCGGAGCCAGCAGGACAGGAAAGUGGGGUCACCUAAGAUGCUGUGGGUCACUGGGCUAUAGCUCUGCUCCGGUGCCCACCUGGUCAUGGGGCUACUGCUUUGUACGGGGUUGCAUGGGUGUUUUCAAACCCCAACAGACUUGCAGGGAGAGAUCUGCCUUAUGGGGUCAGUGGGAAGGAAAUGUAGAGGUAGUGAACCUAUGGCACCGAGUCUUCCCAAAUACAAUGUCAGAGAUGGUGUGUCCAUUUCCCCAGCCCUCUCUUCUCAUUAUUGCAUUUGGAGACUCUCAGGGAUUCUGUCCAUCAGUCUCUGUUGUAUACCUGUUUCUGUCCCAGGUCUCUAGCUGGUUAUUGAGGAAGAUUCAUACCUAACAGAAUGGAGAACAAGAAUUUUCCUGUUACAGUGUAAUUGGGGCCGGCACCCAAGGCACGGGUCAAAAGCUAAGUAUCUAUAUUCCAGAUUCCAAGAGUCACCAGCAGGUGUGACUAAACGUCUCCCCAAAGAAUUUACCGAGGAGACUCUCCCCGAGACCAUAGGCGAAGGUCUAGACAUAGAGAAUCCUGCACAUGUUUGAAAAACAGUUUCCAAUAUGAAUAGUUGGGGUGAGAGAAAAGGUCUGAAGGAAAGAGGAAGGGGCCUUAAGUAGUUCAUACUUAUUUUGGAAGAGAAGUAUAAGAUACUUUAUCAUCUGUCUUCUGUUUUGGGGAAAAGACUGUAGGCUUGUAUAGACCUGCUUUAUUUUAUUUCUUAAUUAUAUAAGAAAUAUAUAGACAUAUUCCUAAUUUAGAAAUUAGAGUAUCAAAGAGAAAGGCAAGCCAGUUUUGCCACAACUCUAGACUAUAUACAUAUACAUGUAUAUGUGUGUAUAUAUGUGUUUAUGUAUAUGUGCAUAAAUAUGUGUUUAUAUGUACGUAAAUAUGAGUACACAUACAUAUAUACAUAUGCAUGUAUGUGUGUGUAUAAAAUCUCUAAUAGAUAUCCAUAAAUAGUAUGAAAUGAUAUGAUAUUGAUUUUUUUCUAAUGUGGCUUUUUAGUAUUAUUCAGUUUGUCUUUUUUAUAGCAAAUUUGUGUGUGUUUUUUUUGUUUUGUUUUUUUUUUAAAUUAUGAAGCUGAGAUAACCCAGAGAAAGUAAAGCAGAUUGUUAAGAGCCUAGAUUGUGGAGCAAAACUGCUUGGCUGUGUGACCUUAGACAAGUUAUUAAUGUUUCUGUUCCCCAGUUCUUCAUUGGUACAAUUGGGAUAUAAUAUGGUGUUCCACACAGGUUUGUUGUGCUGAUUAAAUGAAUUGAUACAUGUAGACCAUGUAGAAUAGUGCCUGACAUAUUGUAGGCGCCAUAUAAGUAUUACAAAUAGAUCAGGUUCGUUAUUUAACAGCAAAUUCUAAUAUACGAAUAUACCAUAUUUUAUUUAGUGAUUCCCCUACUGAUUGACAUAUUGGCUCUUUUCUAAUUUUGCAUUAUUAAAAACAAUUCUGCAAUAAAUAUUUAAUCAAUUUAUAACACGUUUUGGGAACAUGUGUUACAACUGAUAUGGCAAAUGCUACUGUUAUAAAUAAAUGCUUUUGAAAUCACAUUGAUGCUAAGAAUUUGAUGUAACUUCUUUCUGAUUUACACACUUGAGAUCAUUUUUCCCAUCUUUGAAAUGACUUGAGAGAAGCUGUAUCCCAAAGAUUUAAUGAGGUUAUGUCCUUUUAACUGUCAAGAGCUCCCAAUUCUUUACACUGAUAUUCUUUUGAAUUGUUGAUAAUUAAUCAGGAACAUCAGUGGUGAAAUGUCACAUAGAUAUCACUCUAACCCUUCGAUCUGUAUCUUUAAAGGGAGGCUUUUCUCUCUGUCUGCUGGCCUGUCAUUGCCAAGCUUCCCUCUUAUUAACCUUGAAGUCACAUGGAACAGACUCUCCUGUGAUUUCAUCAUAUCUCCCAUCUGAAGAGAUGCUAUCACACUCCAAAAAAAUAAAUUAAAAGCACUGCAUUACCCCCACACGCAGGCAGGUCACAGGUUUAAUUUUUUUUCCCCUAGUGGGGCUUCUUGCCCAACCUGUCACAGACAAGCAUUUACAGAUUUCUCUUUGAGUCUUCUAUCAGUUUGCAUAGAACAUUUUAUUAUUGAUAAUUGUUCAUGAAAUUCUCUUUCUUCUGAUAAAGCCAAUCUUCUCUGAGUUUUAUGGAAAAUGAGUUAUUUGCUUCUUUAAAAUGCUUCAACUUCCCAAUGGUGAUAACUUGAUUAGUAAAAAUGGUAAGACAAAUUUUUAUGAAAGCUUUCCGAUGUCUUUAUAAAUUAAACAAAAUGUAAAAGACUCUUUGUCCGGUGCAUGUGAAGAAGUAUCCCAUGUGCAGGUUUUCUUGGAGUUAGCACAAGUUGCUAGGCCCUAGGAGUGACCCUGGACAAAAUGAUGAAGUCUGGGAAGUUGGACUUGAACCUCCUGGCUUUCUCUUCAAUAUCCACAAAUCUCUUGACUGCUUUGAGCUACAGAUGUUCUGUUUCCAGUAAUCCUUUCCAGCCAAAUGUCUCUGCUUUCUCUACUACUGGAAAUAUCAGAAUAAUGAGAGGGUGUAAGAAUUUCCAGGAAAGAGUGAUAUUUAGCAAGAAAGAGAAGUGGGGGGCGGGGUGACAAGGGCUAGAGCAUGAUCUUAACUUGGGAUGAAGGAGACUUCAGUUGAAUUGAUCAAGUGGAACAAUUGUCAGCCAGAGACAGUGACGUAAAUGCAAGAUUUUGUUUUAUUUCCAAAGCAUCAGACACUGGGUUUGCACAGAGCUGAGGGUCAAAGCACACUGAGGAAGAGUCUGUAGGGUAAGUUUGUUGAAACUGAAAUUUAGAAGCUUCCAAGUUUGGGUUGGCAUUGAAUACAGUCCACAGAACCAGGUGUCAGGGGUGCUAGGGGUAAAACUUUGGAAUAUGUAAGGGUCAAGUCUCAGGCUGAAAGAGCAGCCAGGUUGCUUGGGCCAUGGCAAGUUGUAAUGGCAAGUAUUUUGUUGUUGUUGUUGUUGUUUCAAUUGGAUGGGUAAGAGGGUUCUCUUUCACUCAGUUUCAUCAGAUUCCUGGGUCUUAAAGGGUCCUAGAGAACUGGGCACAAACCUCAUCUUUAGAGUUUCUUGGUCACUGCCAUUGUUAGUGAAGCCCCUUCUGCAAUGCUUUGUUUCUCACAGCUCUCUGGUCCUUUGUGUAUACUGGAAACUGGAAGCCUGAUACCCUUCACAGGUAUCCUUCAGUCCUGCUGUACAUACAACCAUCAUUGCCCACCCUUCCCACUCUGAAGCUUCUAACAUUACUGGAAUGAUGAUGUAUCCUAUAAUGUCACAUCUCAGUGCCUUAUUUGAGUAAAGUGACCUGACUAUCAUAUCACUGCCCUUUCCCAACCCAAGCAGCUUUCUGGGUCCCCUCCCACCCUCAGAGGACUCCUUACUUACCCCUGUCGGGGUUUAACUUUCCAAAACCAAGCUUUAUACCCUGACCUCCAAAGAGCUAUCAACACCUUCCUACCUAAGACAAGUGAUCCUGGAAUUAGAUCUUAGUUCUUGUGAAAGGAGAAAACUCUUUAUUUUUUAUUUUUCCACGGUAGAAAAAUACCAUUUAAUCUGUCAAGAAUUCCCUUUUAUAUGGGUUUGCCCUUUCUACUUUUUCCUUUUGUGAGGGGAGAGAAUUCUACCCUUUACCCAUGAAGGUUUAGAAUCAGAGAAAAGAUAGGGGAAAUUCCAUGGAGUUUUGUCUCUUUUCUGUUUCAAGUGACACUAUACCUACUAACCUGACAUGGAGAAUAAAUUUGAUUUAGUCCUUAGGGUUCCCAGGGAAAAAGUUAGGAAUGAGGUACACUUAAGGAUUAGACUUCUUUAAGGUGCCUGGAGGUCUAUUCCUAUGACUUUUUGAGAGUGGGAGAGUCUUUUUCACCAGAUUUUCCAGUAUUUGGAGACUUUUCUGCUCUAUCAUGAUUUUGUUCAGAACACCCUUCUUCCUUAGUUUUGUUUUAAUGUUCGCCUCUGCCCCCAAUCCUCCCUCAACUUCAAGACAAACUCAUCUUCCAACUCUUUCUCACAUGUGUAGGUACAUAUUUUGCAUUUUCUAGUAGUUUUUUAUAACAUUAAUGGAUUUUUAAAUACUAGUCUGCCAUCUCUGACAUCUAAGAACAUUUGCCUUUUAUAUUAUUUCUGCCUUUAUUUAUGAAGCUCCUGCCAAAAAGACAAAUUAGAAUUCAUUUUCCACAUUAAUGAAGAUGUCUAAACCAACUUUGAUCCAAAUUAAAAUGAAAAGGGUGCUGGUGUAUUUGAAAACUGAAAAGGUAAGCUGUGAGGGCAUCAUUGGCAAAUUUAAAAAUUGUGUGUGACAGGGGCACCUGGGAGGCUCAGUUGGUUAAGCAUCUGAUUUCGGCUCAGGUCAUGAUCUAGCAGUUUGUGAGUUCGAGCCCCACGUCGGUCUCUGUGCUGACAGCUCAGAGCCUGGAGCCUGCUUCAGAUUCUGUGUCUCCCUCUCUCUAACCCUCCCCCCCCCCCACUUUCUCUCUCUCUCUCUCUCUCUCUCUCUCUCUCUCUCAAGAAUAAAUGUUUUUUAAAAAAUUGUGUAUGAUGAUACUUGCAGACAAGGUCUUGGCUCAGCCAUCAGCACUUUGAUCACGACCUUGGGUAAUUUUGACAUGAGUGGUACUUGGAUCCCACUUUGGGAAGCAUCACAGUGUUUUCUAUCUUACAUAGAUAUCGUCAUCUAGAUCUAUGGGUUAUUUAUGUUAAUGUACUCCUUGGAAAAGCAGUGCAAAGGGAGUUUCAGUGUUAGAUGAGGCAUGAUACUCUAAAAUGUUCUUUUUGGUAAACUUAACAGAGAGGAUGUUUGACACUGGAUUGAACUAGAUGUAAAAAGGCACUAGACACUGGUGUCUGAGAGAACUGAGCUCUGAAAUCCUGCUCUCCUAGUAAUUUUGCGUGUUGUUUGAAAGUCAUUCAACUUCUUCCAGAGUCUAUUUCUUCAUAUCUAAAAUGAUGUGUUAAUAAUAUUUACCUGAAGGGUUGCUGAGAAGCCGAAAUGCAUCAGUGUGUGGAAAUCACUUGGUAUACUUUGUAACACAUAUAGAAUUUUUGCACCUGAUGCCUAUAACUUCUACAGUGCAGGCAUAACUUUGGGUGCAUACAUGUAAUACACAUAUAUGCAUGCACAGACACACAUGCAGAAAGCAGGGAGAGGAGGAGAGGGAGAGAGAGGGAAGGCCUGGCAGGGAGAUAGGGACUCUUGUUUUGGAAACUCUCUAGUCUCAAGAAUUACAUAUUUUACCAGGCACAAUUCCUAGGUAACUAUUUUAGGUACAUAAAGAAUAUACAUGUGUAGGAGUCUAAUUUGAGAGAGAAAAAUGCUAGAACUAGUUGUGACUUUUAUCUCUCUAAUGAAUACUUACAUCUUUUGGUUCACCCUCCCAGCGAGUCAAGCAUUCCUUCCCAUUGCAUAUUUCUUUGGAGGGAGCUGCAACUGCCGCUACUCCUUCAAAAAGUUGCUCGCACAGGCAUAGACAAAACCCUUUUAGAUGAAAAAGAAAAAAAAGUAAACAAAUGGAAAAAAUAUUUUCACACACCCCUGAGAGUGCAAUGUUGGGGCAAUCCAAGAAUGCAUUUAUAUUUUCUUCCUACUGGGAAAUCUGUUUGCAUCAAUGCCCUUCAAUGCUAUUUGACAUUUAGGACUCGAGAAAGAUAAAAAUAUGGGUGUGGAAUUGAGUUAGCAAAGUUGAGGUAGAAAGUAGUCCUUAAAUGUGCUUAAACAUGCUUAUGUAGAUUCCUUUAAACUUUGUUUUGUUUCAUCAAAUCAUAAAAGCAUGUUUUAAAAUUAUUAUAGAAGUUGGAGACUGUCAGUGAGAUAAAGGGCUGUAAACUGCCAGAUAUCUAGGAGACUGGCCUGGGCAGACCCUUUUGAAACCCAGAGGAUCGUCUCUUCCUCAUUAGCGAAUAUCAUUUUCAUAAUGGGGGAAAGGAGAAAGGAAGAGAAUAUCCAAUGUAACUUCAUGAUAGCUCAGAUAAUGUGUGGCCUCAGAUCUCACAAUUCAAGGUAGAGGAAAACUCUGAACCCCUGAAUUACAGUAGUCAGUUAUUUUUCUCAUCGCUCCUAAUCAAAGAUAGCUUCCCCUCAUUUUCACUGCCCCUCAUUCUGUCCUCUUUCUUCUCAUUUAAUCAGUUCAGGUUAUUCCAUUGAGAAUGCUAAACUGAAAAUCCUAGGCUGGCAUCUUGUGUAUCCGUAAGACAGGGAGAGCUGUAAGGGCCCCUGCUGUAGGUACUAUUCCCCCAGGGCCUUCAGCCCCAACCAGGGAGGCUGAGCUAUUAAUGAGGAGUAUAAGGCUUCCUUGCUUAUUCAGCCCUUGUCCUCUCUCCUGAGACUGCCAACAAGAGAAGCAAUUAGGGCCAAUUGUGGUGGUGGUUGGCUGCCUUUUAAAAUAGAAACCAUCUCAAAAUCCGUCUAAGAACGUGCCUUACUUUCAGCUUCCCUAUAGACCACAGAGACAUUCAGUGACAGUGCUGAGAAUUACCCAGAUUAUCCAUGGAAGCCAGUAAUAGUCCAAUUACCAACACUUGUUUGCAGUCUUUUAGUGAACUUUCUCUGAAGUUGGGAAAGAGUAUGCUGCAAUAGGGCUGAGGCUGAUGUCGGGGUGGGGGUUGUUGGAAAAACUGUUCUGAGAAUAAAGUUGUUUUGAUCAGUGACUCAAGAUUCCCUUAGAUUAGGUGACAACUGGAGGCUCUGAUGUGUUUUCAUAACACAUAAUUGUGUUAUUACCAUUAAUAACAUUACCAUUGUGGAGAAAUGAUUUUUCCACAGACUAUGGAAUCUCCCAUCCAAGCCUGUGUUCAUUGUAUGUUUGCUAUAUUGACUUGAGGGAAAGUUGGUGGGGUUUUGGUGUGGUUUUUUUGUUUGUUUUUAAGAUCCUAUGUAUUCUCUUCAUGAAUUAGAUAAUCCCAAAACUAAUAGGAAACUCUAAACAAAAGCUGAAAACCAAUGUGCUUAUCUGUCACCUGUUUUAACACUUUGAGUAGGAUUCUCUUGCUUUGUAUUUAGAGGGAUGAUGACCCAAUUUAGAAUAAACUAGAGUAUGAGAUAGCUUUUUUAAAACUGUCUCCUGCUAUUGUUAAAAGUUCCAGCCUUGAGGGAAAGCAAAGAAACCAAAACUUAUUUUCUCUGUGAGCAAGUUUUCCCUUGUCAAUUCAAAAAAGGAUUAUAUAGAUAAAUACUAAAUGCUUAAUUUCCAUAAUAAAGUAAUAAGUGAUGCUUUGCCAUUUCUUCUCUUUUUUAAGUAGAGCUAUUAAUAUGCUGUUAUUUGGAGUCUAUGAUCUUACCUCUAGCUGUCUGAUAAUAAAUCAGGAGCUAUCAUUCACGGAGACAGGAGAUGACUACAUUACUUCAGUCAGAAUUCUUUGGAACCCUUAGUUUUAUCCAUCAAUUUCUGCAAUGAUAAAGGAACCAUAUGGGAGGAUCUUUCCAUUUUUUUCUUCUGCCAGCCCCCUAUUUACAUUCAAACUUCAUCUUUUAAAACCAUUUCUAAAUAUUUCUUUUUACUUACAGUCAGUAUCUUUUAAAUGACAAUAUUAACAUACAUGCAGACCAUCGUAGCUAUAUUUCUGGAGUACUGGAAAUUGUGCAAUUUAUGUGCAUAAGCCAUUUGCUCAUCUCUUCCUUUUAAGAGCAUCUGUGUUUCUCCAUGACAGCUCAUUUCUGUAGUUUAUAAUUUUCAUUUGGAGUAUUCUAUACCCUAGACCAUUCUACACUGGGCAAUGGCAGCUGCACCUCCUCAGAUAGGAUUCUAUUGAAAAAUCCUGGGUUCUGCCAAUAACUAUCUUGGGAGGAAGGCAUAGGUGUGUGUGUGUGUGUGUGUGUGUGUGUGUGUGUGUGUGUGUGUGUGUGUGUGAGAGAGAGAGAGAGAGAGAGAGAGAGAGAGAGAGAGAGAGAGAAAGAAAAUGUGUAUAGAGGAGUUUAUGUGUUAUUUGGGUAUCAACCUAUAUUUCUCCAAUUGUUCCCUUUAGGUCUUGUGUAGCUUAUUAGCUCUUUGCUGGCUCAGGAUCCUCUGGCCAUCCUGUCACUACCCUUUACAGGAGAACAGAUUGCUGCUGGGCCCAGAUUGUUUGCACUAGAACGCACUGAAUGUCCAGGGAAAAGGAGAACCUUCUAGAGUUUUACAAAUUUUAGUAUGUUGAACAAUGACCACCCAAAGAUAUCAAGUCCUAAUCCCUGGAAUUUGGAAAUCGUCCCUUAUUUGGAAAAGGAUUCUUUACAGAUGUAAUUAAGGAUUUUGAAAUGAGGGGAUUGCUCUGGAUUAUUUGGUUGAACCCUAAAGGCCAUCACAAGCUUUAGUAACUACCUCUAAGUGUCCUUAUAAGAGGAAGGCAAAGAGCUGUUAACAGAAACAUGAAGAGAAGGCAGUAUUAAGACAGAGGCAGACUACUAGGUGUUUAUCUAAAGAAUAUAAACAUGCUUAUUUGAAGGGGCACAUGUACCCCAAUGUUUAUAGCAGCCUAAUUGUGGAAAGAACCUAAAUGUCCAUCAAUUGAUGAAUGGAUAAAGAAGAUUUGGUGUGUGUGUGUGUGUGUAAGUAUAUGCACACACACACAUAUACAUGUAUAUACACAUACAUAUACAUGCAAUGGAAUAUGUAUACAUAUAUAUGCAUAUAUAUAUACAUAUACAUGCAAUGGAAUAUUAUGCAGUGAUCAAAAAGAAUGAAAUCUUGCCAUUUGCAAUGAUGUGGAUGGAACAAGACUGUAUUAUGCUAAGUGAAGGAAGUCAGUCAAAGACAAAUACUGUAGGAUUUCACUCAUAUGUUGAAUUUAAGAAACAAAACAGAUGAACACGGGGAAAGAAAGGAAAAAUAAAGUAAGAUAAAAACAGGGAGGGAGGCAAACCCUAAGAAACUCUUAGAGAACAAACUGAGGGUUAUUGGAGGGGAGGUGGGUAGUAAGGGGAUGGGCUCAAUGGGUGAUGAGUAUUAAGAAGGGCACUUGAUGCAGUGCCUGGGUGGCUCAGUCGGUUGAACCUCUGACUUUGACUCAGGUCAUGAUCUCACAGUUCGUGGGUUCCAGCCCCGCGUCAGGCUCUGUGCUGACAGCUCAGAGCCUGGAGACUGCUUCAGAUUCUGUGCCUCCCUCUCUCUCUGCCCUUCCCCCCACUCAUGUCUCUGUCUCUCAAAAAUAAAAAUAAAUGUUAAAUUUAAAAAAAAAGAGGGCCCUUGUUGGCAUGAGCAUUGCAUGUUGUAUGUAAGUGUUGAAUCACUAAAUUCUACUCCUGAAUCCAAUACUAUAUGUUAACUAACAUGGAUUUAAAUAAUAAUAAAAACAAAAGACAGAGGCAGAAAUUGAUAGCGGUGCUGACACAAGCCAACAAGAACCACUGUAACUACCAGAAGCUGGAAGAGGCAAGGCGGAGGCUUCCCUAGAAUCCCCUAGAAAGGGUGGCCCUGCUGGAUUUGGACUUUGUGCAUCCAGAACUGUGAGAGUGUGACUCUGUGUCAUUUUCAGUUAAGCCAUUGCCCUGUGGUAAUUUGUUCCCGUGUUCUUAGAACACUAACGUGUAGGUGAGGAAAAAUAACACAGGAUGUAAUAUUUCAUAAAUAUUAUGCCUCCUAGACUUAUUAAAUUAUCAGAAAUGUUGAGGAUUUUUAUGAACAUCACAGUUGGGCAUCAUCCCCCUUCUCCUCCUUUACAGCUGCCUUGUUAAAUAUGGGAGCCACUAGCCACAUGUGGCAAUUGAAUAAUUGAGAUGUAGCUACUGGAACUAAGAAAUUGAAUUUUUAAUUUUAUUCAAUUUUAAUUAACUUAAAUUUUUAAAACUUGUAGUUGAUUCAGUUAUUGGAAAGCUUUUCAGCAUGCUUGGAACAAUUUAGGUAUGUGAAUUUACUUUUUCAACUGUAAAUUUUAUGAAAUAUAAAUAUACAUCAAAUAUUCCAAUGAAAAUUUAUUCUCCAAACGGAGAUGUGCUCUAAGUGUAAAAUAAAUACCAUAUUUCAAAGACUUAUUAUGGAAAAAAUGCAAUAUAUCUUACCAAUAUGUUUUAUAUUGAUUACAGGAUGAAAUGAUAAUAUUUUGGAUAUGUUAGAUGAAAGAUAUUACUAAAAUUAAUUCCAGUUAUAGUAAUAGAUCUGCAUUCUGGUAGCUUACGGACCAAACCAGUCAUUCAGCUUGCCAUUCACUUGGGACAAGCUUUGACCACAUGUCCAUUCUCAUGGCUGGUCAUUUCAUUUGGUGUUUUGUUCAAUGAAAACAACCAUGUUUUGAAUUAGAAUUUAAACAUAAACAUUUAACACUGCCUUCACUCCUGAUAGAGCAUACAAAAGAAAAAUAAUUAAAGAUUACAAGAUGUGUUCUUGAUGGUUACAGUUUGAAGAUGUUUUUUAGGGCUUGGGAAGUAUAUACUGUCUUAAAGCAGUUGAGUUUCCGAAGCUUCAGCAAAGAUAUUCCAGUCCUAUUUCCAGUAGCUCUUGAUAGUUCUGGGUGAAACAGCAAUAUUUUUAUUCUUGCUUUGCUUUAUUUGCCUCAUGGAUCUCUUCCAAAUAUUUAAAAAAUAACAUUAUUAGUUAUGUAAAUAAAUUUAUUUUAAUUGAUUUAAAAUGACAUUUCACUUGAGAAGUGCAAUAAUGUUUUUACUUUCUCUACCAUUACAUUGAAUAUAUUCUGUAUUUUAAAGAAUUAUUAUCUUCAGGCAAUUACCAUAGUGAAAAAUAAUUCUGAAAAACCAGGAUUGUAAGUAAAAAGGGUUUUAUCUACCAAUCUCUAUUGGACUGAUUGUGGAGCCUAAAACUAUAAGCAAUAAACAACACUUGAGAGUAGAAAACCUCUUGUACUUGGUAUUUAAGUAGUUCAGUGUUGUUUUGCUUCUUCUCCUCUUAAUUCUUCAGUCAAUACAUGUCUUCCCACGGGUCCCUCCUACAUUACUGCCACACCUAACCCCAGAUCCUGCUGACUUUAGAGGCCAUCUACAAAGAGAACAGACAUUUUUGUCCCAGAAACUACAGGAGUUAGCAAGGACUUAAUGGUCUCGUUUCACAGAUGGGGGAUAGUUUAGAGUCAGGGCCAGGGCUAGCACAGAGGGUCUUCUGAUAUCACAUCUAAUUAUCUUUCUGCUAAAUCAUACUUUUCCACUACAAAUGACCUGAAGAUAUCCUGAAUGUUAUGCACUCUUAGAUGAUCUCCUAAUUUCCAAAAGAAUCUGAUCAAAAGUGAAAGGCCACACCUUGUGAAAACUAGAAAUUGGUGGAUGUUUGUUCUAACACCAGUACUGCUGUGGACAUCUGCUGAAUUUGCGAUGGGCUGUCUGUUCAUUCACCCCUCAUGCUUUACCCAGAGUGUUUGCUGCUAAAAUAGGGUUAUGUUUGUAAGGCAAGCACCCUACACAGAGAUAGUCCCUACAAUUGUAGUAGCUGUGUCCCCUGAUACAUAUGAAGUCCCAUGUGAAGUUUUUAAGAGGAAACUAAAUUCUUUGUCAUAUGCCAAGUUUUCUGGACCAGGGUAUUAAUAUUUAUGUUCUAAGUUUUUAAAAUUAAAUUUAUUAUUAAUAUAGUAUUCUAACCUUCAAAGCCAAAUACUAGUUAUUUGAUUUUAUGCAUCCUGACAUAACAAUUUGAAGAAAAAUUAAUACCGUAGUUCACACUGACAGAGUUUUAAACACUUUUAAAGUGCUAUGUGUUUAAUAUCUAGCUUUGCUUUUCAAUGCUCAAGCUCAGAAACCUCAAGCCUAAAUAUUGCCUUUCUUAAAAUGUCUCUUUCUUUUGUACUUUAUGUCUUCCUAGAUUAUAUUUGAUGUCUUACCUCAUGACCUGAUUGUUGGUCCACAUUCAGAGAUCCUACCUCGGUGGGUUUAGUAACUGGACUGGGGUAGGGUGUAAGUCGCCAUGAUGACAUAGUCAGGAAAAGCACACAUCGCCAGAGGUGUAUGUAAUGGCUCUAAACACUAAGGUGCAGUAUGUUGCAUCGAGAUCCUUGGGUUUUUCUCCUCUCUGAGUUUUAUAUUCCUAGUCUGGAAGACUAGAAUCAUUCCAGGACUAUCUAUCUCAUGGAGUUGUGAGGAUAAUAUGGAAUAGAAUACUCAUGCAGUUUAAAAAAUUAAUUAACUAUGAAACACAAAAUAACACAUAACUGCGAUAGGGACUCUAUUUGAAUACGAUGCUGAAAGCAAAGGAAAGAGAAGAGAGGUAGGAUGGCAGGAAAGGGGAAGACCGGGGCUUAGGAUGAAUUAGGCUCAUAGUUGCAAUAUUGGUGUUUGGGGGGGGGGGGUCUUAUUUUUUCCUUAAAAACUUGAAGUUUGAGCUCACUGUGUGUGACUGUGAAAAAUGUACAGAACUUUUUCACAUACUGCAGUAGCAGAUUUUGAUAGAUUGGACAGUGACAUUAAUUUUAUGAUUUGCAUUAUUAAAACAAGAUUAUGCACAGACAGUGCUUUAAAAAUUGUAAACAUGCGUUGAAAUUGUAUGGAUUAUCAUUAUUGUCAAAUGAUGUGUGUGGGAGUUUAUGUUGUUGAGUGCAGUUUGCAUCUUUUGGAGAAGGAAGAGCCUUGUAGUUUAAAAUGGAGGGAACCUGUGACAGCUGAUUCUGGGGAUCUCCUGUUGAAAUUUUUAAAAUUUAUCUUGGUGUUACAUAAAAGUCUUUUUUUUUUUUUAAUUUGAGAGAGAGAGAGAGAGAGAGAGAGAGAGAGAUAACAAGAGCGCACACACAUGCAAGCGGGGGAGAGGAGCAGAGGAAAGGGAGAGAGAAUCUUAAGCAGGCUCUGUGCUGAGUGAAGCUCCAUCCCAUGACCCUGGGAUCAUGACCUGAGCCAAAACCAAGGGUUGGAUGCUCAACUGAUUGAGCCAUCCACGUGCCCCCAAAGUCGUUUGUUUUAUAUCUAAAAUUAAGGUAUGGGAUGGGAAAGCAGGAAGAAAUAAUUCCUUUAGUGGGAAAGUACAUAUUCUGUGAUAAACAUUUGUAGGGAUUUUUCUAUCUGCUUUUUCUGUUUUCUUUUUUUUUUUCUUUUUUUAGUAUAUGUGCUGCCAAAGCAAGCAUUUUAUCUGCUUUUUUGAAUCCUAACAAUUUGGUGGUUUUGCAUGUAUUUUUAUAUUUUUACUGCUGCUGUCAUUAACCACUUAUCUUUCUCUUCCUCCCUUCAGAACGUACAUUUCCAUUUAUUCUCCAUUGCAGUCAGUUCACUAGUCAUUAUGCCAGAUGACCUCUGAAAGUAGCCCUAAAUGGACGUGUAAACAUGAUACGUGAAUAGAAGUGGCUCUGUCUGAUAUUUCUUUCGUACACAAAGUUUUCUUCAAAGCAAUGACUAAAGCUUUUUGCCCUUUUCAAGCCCUCCAAUCCUCAGGAAGUUAUUUUCAGUGAAGUGGUGAGAAGGAAAGAGUUCAAAUAGGAUUGAUUUAAUAGAGCUAUGAUGUGAAAAAUCUUGCAACACGCUGUCUGCCUGAAAUGGCCAAUCAUGGAAGCAUUAAAAUCAGAGCUGGGAAGUAAGCUGAGGCAUCCCAAAGAGGCACCCAAAUUAAAGAAUGACAGCAGCUUGCCAUUCCUGUGUGGAGAAAUACAAGUAUUAUAGGAUGAGAAAUAGCCAAAGGAACAUUUGAAGCAGUUAUCAUCUGUGAGCUACAAACAGCUUUAGCUACAAAUUUAGUGCAAGAAAAUUUCCCUCCUCCUCCCACUCCCCACCAAUGACCCAAGAAAUUAAAAGAAAACCUUCAUAUUUCUUUUGCUCAUCUGUCUACUUUCCUCCAUGGGAUCUAUUCUCUCUUACUUACUGAUAAUUUAUUCCUAUCAUCACAAAACUCUACUGUCUUUCAUACUUUAAUGGUGUAUUUGGUUUCUUUCUCUUUUGCUAUUAACUACUCUCAAAGAGUAUUGUUCAUCUAUGAGUUCUUUAAAGCUGCCUAUCAGGGCAUGACAAAUGUAGCUUCAGGGCAGGGGCUUUCUAAGAGAUUACUGCCUAAGAAGUAUGGCAAUGAUGGCAGCAAACAUAUGGGAUUGCAGAUUGCUGUAAUAGAAUGUAGGAUAACUAGGUAAAAUAUGAGUAAUGAGUCCUGCUAGGAUUGUGGGAGUGGAAGUACUGAAUCUUUGAGGGGUUGCCCCUUUCCCAAGGUCAUUUAGCCCAAUAAGCAAAUCUAGAAACUUAAUUAUCAGUGGUAUGACAUGCAUUCAUGAAAUGUGUAGGGAAUUCCUUUGUAAAUCAGAAUUCCAAUUAAAAUAAUAUAUUAUUACAAAUUUGUGUAUGAGUGUGUGUAUGCAAAUAAAGGGAAUGUCUUUAAGCAUGAAGAAGAAAAUAAAUAUACAAUGCUAUCACUUGGCGAGAACUACAGCUUUUAUGAUGUCUAGCUUUCCAACCUAUGUACACAUAAGUAUGUAUUCUUUAAAAUAAGGAAUCAUAAUAUGCACUUUGAUUUGUAACCUUUUUUGUCUGGAGUAAAUUGAGAAAUGAAGGAAGGAACUUGAGGAAGCAUGUACACAGAUCUUUUAAGAAGUUCCUCUGUGACUGAAGCUGGGGAAGAGGUUGGAAGGAGAGCAAAUAACUAAAGGAUUAGUGUAUUUGAGAUGGUGAGAAUGAAUGGGAUCUGCAGAAACUAUGGAGCCGGACUUGAUGGAGUGAAGGCCAUUCUUUGUUGUAAUGAGGAAGAAGAGGGCCAUGGACGCAGGUGGUUUGUUAACAGAAAAAGUGAUCAGAAAAUGAGGAAAGUCAAUGUUGGUGACUUGUCCUUGUUUUUUCUAAGGAAGCCCAAGGGAAAAUCUUCCAUUAAUUUAAAAUGAAAAAGGGGUAUGUAGGGGUGUUGAGGCAAGAAUAGAAUGUAUGAAAGUUUUCUGGGUGAACAAAAGAGUGACUUUUCUAGUACACUAUGGUGGAAUUUCCAGACAAUAUUGAGGUCCUGGUUAAAGUUCAUGAUCAUACAACUAAAAUAAGGAAGUUGGCUUUGUUGUGUAGCUUUUGCAGGAAUGUUUGGCUAUUUAGAUGAAAGUACAGGAAUACCUCAGAGACACUGAAGGUUUGGUUCCAGACCACUGAAAUAAAGUGAAUAUUACAAUAAAAUGAGUUUGGUGACUUCUUUGAUUUCCCAGUGCAUAUAAAUUAUGUUUAUUUAUACUAUUUUGUACUCUAUUAAGUGUGCAAAAGCAUUAUUAAAACAUAAUGUACAUAUGUUAGUUAAAAAAACACUUUAUUGCUAAAAAACGUUAACCAUCAUCUGAGUUUUCAGUAAGUCAUAAUCUUUCUGCUGGUGGAGGGUCUUGCUUUGAUGUUAAUGGCUGCUAACUGAUCAGGAUAGUGGUUGUUAAAGGUUGGGAUGGCUGUGACAAUUUCUAAAAUAAGACAAAAUGAUUUUAAAAAUCAGACUUUUAAAACAUUUUAUUUAUUUAAUUUUGAGAGAGAGAGGGAGGGAGGGAGGGGCAGGGAGAAAGGAAGACAGAGGAUCUGAAGCAGGCUCCAUGGAACAGCAGAGCGCCCAAUGCAGGGCUCUAACCCAUGAACUUUAAGAUCAUGACCUGAGCCUAAGGCAGAUGCUUAACUGACUGAGCCACCCAGGUUCCUCUAAAAAUGACUUUUAAAAUAAAACAACAAUGAAAAAAAUAAAGUAACAAUGAAUUUUGCCACAUCAAUUGACUCAUUCAUAAAUGAUUUCUUGGAACCAUGUGAUAACGUUUGAUAACAUUUUACCCAUAAGCAGAGCUUUUUUUCAAAAUUAGACUCAGUCUUAAAAACACUUUCUGCUGUUUUAUCAGGUAAGUUUAUGUCAUAUUCUAAGUACUUUGUUGUCAUUUCAACUAUCUUCACAGCAUUUCCACCAAGAGUAGACUCCAUCUCAAGAAACCAUCUUCUUUGCCCAUUCAUAAGAAGCAACUGCUCAUCCAUUCAAGUUUUAUCAUUAGAUGGCAGCCCUUCAGUCCCAUCUUAAGGCUCCACUUCCGACUCUAGUUCUCUUGCUAUUUUCUACCACAUCUGCAGUUACUUUCUCCUCUGAAGUCUUGAACCCUCAGAAUCAUUCAUGAGAGUUGGAAUCACCUUCUUCCAAAUGUCUGUUAAUGUUAUAUUUUGCCCUCUUCCCACAAAUCAUGAAUGUUCUUAAUGGCAUCUAGAAUAGUGACUCCUUUCCAGAGGUUUUCAAUGCACUUUGCCCAGAUCCAUCAGAAGAAUUACUAUCCAUGGCAGCUAUAUUUUAUUAAAUGGAUUUCUUCAAUAAUAAAAAGACUUGAAAGUCCAAAUGACUCUUUGAUCCAUGGGCUGCAGAAUGGAUGUCGUGUUAGCAGGCACGAAAACAGCAUUAAUCAUGUUGUCCAUCUCCAAUAGAGCUCUUAUGUCAUGAGGUAUGUUGUCAAUGAAAAGUGAUAUUUUGAAAGGAAUUUUUUUUUUUUAAUGUCAACAGUAGCUUUCAGUAAACCGUGUUGCUAUGAACAGAUGUGUUGUCAUCCAGGCUUUAUUGUCCCAUUUACAGAGCUGAGGAAGAAUAGAUAGUUCUUAAGAACUAUAGCAUUUUCAGAAUGGUAACUGAGUAUUAGCUUCAACUUCAAGUCACCAGCCAAUUAGCCCCUCAACCAGAGGGUCAGACUGUCCUUUGAAGCUUUGAAGCUAGGCAUUGACUUUUCCUCUCUAGCUACGAAAGUCCUAGAUGGCAUCCUUUUCCAAUAGAAGGCUAUUUCAUCUACAAUGAAAAUAUAUUAUUUAAUAUAGCCACCUUCAUUAAAUAUCUUAGCUAGAUCUUCUGGAUAACUUGGCUGCAGCUUCUACAUCAGUACUUGCUGUUUCACCUCACUUUUGUGUUAUGGAGAUGGCUUCUUUUCUUAAACCUCAUGAGCCAACCUCUGCUAGCUUCCAACUUGUCUUCUGUAGCUUCUUUCCUUAUCUCAGCCCUCACAGAAUUGAAGAGAAUCAAGGCAUUGCCCUGAAUUAGGGUUUGACUUAAGAAAAUACUGUGACUGGUUUUAUCUUUAUCCAGGUGACUAAAAUGUUCUCCAUAUCAGCAAUAAGGCUGUUUUUCUCUUUUUUGUUUGUUUAUUUUUGUUUUUAUCAUUCUUGUGUUUACUGGAGUAGUACUUUUAAUUUCCUCCAAGAAAUUUCCCUUUGCACUCACAAUUUAGCUAACUGUUUGGUGCAGGAGGCGUAACUUUCAGCCUAUCUCUGCUUUUAACAUGGCUUCCUCACAAAGCUUAAUAAUUUCUAGCUUUCAAUUCAAAAUGAAAGACUUGUGGGGUGCCUGGGUGGCUCAGUCGGUUAAGCGUCCGACUUUGGCUCAGAUCAUGAUCUCGCAGUUCGUGAGUUCAAGCCCCGCGUCGGGCUCUGUGCUGAUGGCUCAGAGCCUGGAACCUGUUUCGGAUUCUGUGUCUCCCUCUCUCUCUGACCCUCCCCCGUUCAUGCUCUGUCUCUCUCUGUCUCAAAAAUAAAUAAAGGUUAAAAAAAAUAAAUAAAAUGAAAGACUUGUGACUCUUCACUUGAACACUUAGAGGCCACUGUAGGGUGAUUAAUUGGUCUAAUUUAGGUAUUUUUGAGUCUCAGGAAAUAGGAAGGCUCAAGGAGAAGGAGAGAGAUGGGGAAAUGGCUGUCAGUGGAGCAAUCAGAAUACAUACAACAUUUAUCAAUAAAGUUAACUGUCUUAUACGGUCAUAGUUUGUGGUACCCCAAAACACUUACAGUAGUAACAUCAAGGAUCACUGAUCACAGAUCCCUAUAAUGAAUAUAAUGAAAAAGUUUGAGAUACUGUGAAAAUUACCAAAAUGUGAUAGAGACGUGAAGUGAUCAAAUGAUGUUGGAAAAAUAGCACCAAUAAAUUUGUUCAAUUCGGGGUUGCCACAACUCUUCACUUUGUAAAAAACAUAUUAUCUAUGAAGUGGGAUAAAGCAAAGCACAAUAAAAUGAGGUACACCUGUACAUAAAACGUUAAUGGGGGCACCUGGGUGGCUCAGUUGGUUAAGCGUCCGACUUCAGCUCAGGUCAUGAUCUCACAGUCUGUGAGUUCGAGCCCUGCGUCAGGCUCUGUGCUGACAGCUGAGAGCCUGGAGCCUGCUUCAGAUUCUGUGUAUCCCUCUCUCUCUGCCCCUUCCCUGCUCAUGCUCUGUCUCUC